AGGAUUGAACGCUGGCGGCAGGCCUAACACAUGCAAGUCGAGCGGUAGAGAGGUGCUUGCAUCUCUUGAGAGCGGCGGACGGGUGAGUAAUGCCUAGGAAUCUGCCUAGUGGUGGGGGAUAACGUUCGGAAACGGACGCUAAUACCGCAUACGUCCUACGGGAGAAAGCGGGGGACCUUCGGGCCUCGCGCCAUUAGAUGAGCCUAGGUCGGAUUAGCUAGUGUGAGUAAUGGCUCACCAAGGCGACGAUCCGUAACUGGUCUGAGAGGAUGACCAGUCACACUGGAACUGAGACACGGUCCAGACUCCUACGGAGGCAGCAGUGGGAAUAUUGGACAAUGGGCGAAAGCCUGAUCCAGCCAUGCCGCGUGUGUGAAGAAGGUCUUCGGAUUGUAAAGCACUUUAAGUUGGAGAAGGGCAGUUACCUAAUACGUAUCUGUUUGACGUUACGACAGAAUAAGCACCGGCUAACUCUGUGCCAGCACG
RNAcentral lists this ribosomal RNA (486 nucleotides) under uncultured soil bacterium. RNAcentral's name for it is "bacterial SSU rRNA". It matches the Rfam family "Bacterial small subunit ribosomal RNA", at positions 27 to 515 of the family's 1533-position model. The record is from RNAcentral.